CCAACAGGGAUUGCCUCAGUAACGGCGAGUGAAGCGGCAACAGCUCAAAUUUGAAAUCUGGCCUAGCCCGAGUUGUAAUUUGCAGAGGAUGCUUCUGGCGCGGUGCCUUCCAAGUCCCCUGGAACGGGGCGCCACAGAGGGUGAGAGCCCCGUCGGGUCGGCCGCCAAGCCUGUGUGAAGCUCCUUCGACGAGUCGAGUAGUUUGGGAAUGCUGCUCUAAAUGGGAGGUAGACCCCUUCUAAAGCUAAAUACCGGCCAGAGACCGAUAGCGCACAAGUAGAGUGAUCGAAAGAUGAAAAGCACUUUGAAAAGAGGGUUAAACAGUACGUGAAAUUGUUGAAAGGGAAGCGCUUGUGACCAGACGUGCGUCGGGUGCUCAGCGGGCGUUCUCGCCCGUGCACUCGCCCGACGCAGGCCAGCGUCGGUUCGGACGGGGGGAUAAAGGCGUUGGGAACGUGGCUCCUCCGGGAGUGUUAUAGCCCAGCGUGCCAUGCCCCCGACCGGACCGAGGUACGCGCUCUGCAAGGACGCUGGCGUAAUGGUCCCCAGCGGCCCGUCUUGAAACACGGACCAAGGAGUCGAGGUUUUGCGCGAGUGUUUGGGUGUCAAACCCGCACGCGUAAUGAAAGUGAACGCAGGUGGGAGCUUCGGCGCACCACCGACCGAUCCUGAUGUUCUCGGAUGGAUUUGAGUAGGAGCGUAGGGCCUCGGACCCGAAAGAUGGUGAACUAUACGUGGAUAGGGUGAAGCCAGAGGAAACUCUGGUGGAGGCUCGCAGCGGUUCUGACGUGCAAAUCGAUCGUCAAAUCUGCGUAUGGGGGCGAAAGACUAAUCGAACCAU
Molecule: ribosomal RNA, 841 nt
Filed under: Minimidochium dictyochaetum
Lineage: Eukaryota; Fungi; Ascomycota
Description: partial large subunit ribosomal RNA
Rfam family: Eukaryotic large subunit ribosomal RNA
Source: RNAcentral